UCCGUAGGUGAACCUGCGGAAGGAUCAUUAUCGUGGGGCUCCGGCCCCGUCGAGAUAGCACCCUUGCCUUUACAGUACCGCCCGUUUCCUCGGCAGGCUCGCCUGCCAAUGGGGACAACAAAACACCCUGAUACCACCUGUAACCGUCUGAUAAAACAAACAAAAAUCAAAACUUUCAACAACGGAUCUCUUGGUUCUGGCAUCGAUGAAGAACGCAACGAAAUGCGAUAAGUAGUGUGAAUUGCAGAAUUCAGUGAAUCAUCGAAUCUUUGAACGCACAUUGCGCCCCCCGGUAUUCCGGCGGGCAUGCCUGUUCGAGCGUCAUUUCAACCCUCAAGCUCUGCUUGGUAUUGGGGGAUAGGCCCCGUUGGGGCCUCCCCAGAAAAUUAGCGACGGUGCUCCUGAGAGUCCCAGCGUAGUGACUUUUAAAUCUCGCUGUCAAGGACGUCAGUUGCUUCUGUCGGAAAUUAUUAUUUUUUCAAUGGUUGACCUCGGAUCAGGUAGGGAUACCCGCUGAACUUAA
Molecule: ribosomal RNA, 523 nt
Filed under: uncultured fungus
Lineage: Eukaryota; Fungi
Description: eukaryotic LSU rRNA
Rfam family: 5.8S ribosomal RNA (bases 171-324)
Source: RNAcentral